GACGAACGCUGGCGGCGUGCUUAACACAUGCAAGUCGAACGGAAAGGCCCUGCUUUUGUGGGGUGCUCGAGUGGCGAACGGGUGAGUAACACGUGAGUAACCUGCCCUUGACUUUGGGAUAACUUCAGGAAACUGGGGCUAAUACCGGAUAGGAGCUCCUGCUGCAUGGUGGGGGUUGGAAAGUUUCGGCGGUUGGGGAUGGACUCGCGGCUUAUCAGCUUGUUGGUGGGGUAGUGGCUUACCAAGGCUUUGACGGGUAGCCGGCCUGAGAGGGUGACCGGCCACAUUGGGACUGAGAUACGGCCCAGACUCCUACGGGAGGCAGCAGUGGGGAAUAUUGCACAAUGGGCGGAAGCCUGAUGCAGCAACGCCGCGUGCGGGAUGACGGCCUUCGGGUUGUAAACCGCUUUCGCCUGUGACGAAGCGUGAGUGACGGUAAUGGGUAAAGAAGCACCGGCUAACUACGUGCCAGCAGCCGCGGUGAUACGUAGGGUGCGAGCGUUGUCCGGAUUUAUUGGGCGUAAAGGGCUCGUAGGUGGUUGAUCGCGUCGGAAGUGUAAUCUUGGGGCUUAACCCUGAGCGUGCUUUCGAUACGGGUUGACUUGAGGAAGGUAGGGGAGAAUGGAAUUCCUGGUGGAGCGGUGGAAUGCGCAGAUAUCAGGAGGAACACCAGUGGCGAAGGCGGUUCUCUGGGCCUUUCCUGACGCUGAGGAGCAAAAGCGUGGGGAGCGAACAGGCUUAGAUACCCUGGUAGUCCACGCUGUAAACGGUGGGUACUAGGUGUGGGGUCCAUUCCACGGGUUCCGUGCCGUAGCUAACGCUUUAAGUACCCCGCCUGGGGAGUACGGCCGCAGGGCUAAAACUCAAAGGAAUUGACGGGGCCCCGCACAAGCGGCGGAGCAUGCGGAUUAAUUCGAUGCAACGCGUAGAACCUUACCUGGGUUUGACAUGGAUCGGGAGUGCUCAGAGAUGGGUGUGCCUCUUUUGGGGUCGGUUCACAGGUGGUGCAUGGCUGUCGUCAGCUCGUGUCGUGAGAUGUUGGGUUAAGUCCCGCAACGAGCGCAACCCUUGUUCACUGUUGCCAGCACGUUAUGGUGGGGACUCAGUGGAGACCGCCGGGGUCAACUCGGAGGAAGGUGGGGAUGACGUCAAGUCAUCAUGCCCCUUAUGUCCAGGGCUUCACGCAUGCUACAAUGGCUGGUACAGAGAGUGGCGAGCCUGUGAGGGUGAGCGAAUCUCGGAAAGCCGGUCUCAGUUCGGAUUGGGGUCUGCAACUCGACCUCAUGAAGUCGGAGUCGCUAGUAAUCGCAGAUCAGCAACGCUGCGGUGAAUACGUUCCCGGG
This 1343-nucleotide ribosomal RNA is filed under the name uncultured bacterium. RNAcentral describes it as "16S ribosomal RNA". It matches the Rfam family "Bacterial small subunit ribosomal RNA", at positions 28 to 1378 of the family's 1533-position model. The record is from RNAcentral.